This 420-nucleotide ribosomal RNA is filed under the name uncultured bacterium. RNAcentral describes it as "bacterial SSU rRNA". It matches the Rfam family "Bacterial small subunit ribosomal RNA", at positions 355 to 774 of the family's 1533-position model. The record is from RNAcentral.
UAAGGAAUAUUGCUCAAUGGGAGAAAUCCUGAAGCAGCAACGCCGCGUGGAGGAUGAAGGGUCUAUGACUUGUAAACUCCUGUAAAGAAGGACAAAAUUCACAUUUGAUGGGAGAUGAUGGUACUUCUGGAGUAAGCCCCGGCUAACUACGUGCCAGCAGCCGCGGUAAUACGGAGGGUGCAAGCGUUAAUCGGAAUCACUGGGCGUAAAGCGCGCGUAGGCCGUCUUUUAAGUCGGACGUGAAAGCCCGCGGCUCAACCGGGGAACUGCGUUGGGUACUGGGAGACUUGAGUCCGGGAGAGGGUGGCGGAAUUCCGGGUGUAGGAGUGAAAUCCGUAGAGAUCCGGAGGAACACCGGUGGCGAAGGCGGCCACCUGGACAGGUACUGACGCUUAGGCGCGAAAGCGUGGGGAGCAAACA